GCCUACGGGAGGCAGCAGUGAGGAAUAUUGGUCAAUGGACGCAAGUCUGAACCAGCCAUGCCGCGUGCAGGAUGACGGCUCUAUGAGUUGUAAACUGCUUUUGUACGAGGGUAAACCCCGCUACGUGUAUCGGGUUGAAAGUAUCUUACGAAUAAGGAUCGGCUAACUCCGUGCCAGCAGCCGCGGUAAUACGGAGGAUCCGAGCGUUAUCCGGAUUUAUUGGGUUUAAAGGGUGCGUAGGCGGUUUGAUAAGUUAGCGGUGAAAUUUCGGCUCUCAACCCC
RNAcentral lists this ribosomal RNA (282 nucleotides) under uncultured bacterium. RNAcentral's name for it is "partial 16S ribosomal RNA". It matches the Rfam family "Bacterial small subunit ribosomal RNA", at positions 337 to 616 of the family's 1533-position model. The record is from RNAcentral.